AUUCUUAUUUGAAAAAAAUAUAAAACUUACAUAAAGCGUCCACCAUUUUGAGUCAGCUAUCCUAUUAUUCAAUUUAUUUGAUUUGAUUCAGCAAAUUAUAUUUUGACUUUAAAAUUUGAAUGUGUCGUUUGUUUUUAUACAUUUAGUUAGAAUGUUUCAGAUAAUUCUCGCAACUAUAGAUUUAUUAAAAUAAAUAAUUAGUUUAAAUUUUAAAGUCAAAAUACUAUUAGCUGAUUCAAAUUAAACAAUUUGAUAGGUAAGAUAGUAGGAUCAAAAGAGGAAGAUCAAAGU
Molecule: long non-coding RNA, 291 nt
Filed under: Ananas comosus (pineapple)
Lineage: Eukaryota; Viridiplantae; Streptophyta; Magnoliopsida; Poales; Bromeliaceae
Description: long non-coding RNA (ACOM_LNC019199)
Source: RNAcentral